GCGGCGCGCCUAACACAUGCAAGUCGAACGAUCGAGAGAGAGUUUGCUUUCUCGAGCGAGUGGCGAACGGGUGAGUAACGCGUGAGGAACCUGCCUCAAAGAGGGGGACAACAGUUGGAAACGACUGCUAAUACCGCAUAAGCCCACGGGUCGGCAUCGACCAGAGGGAAAAGGAGCGAUCCGCUUUGAGAUGGCCUCGCGUCCGAUUAGCUAGUUGGUGAGGUAACGGCCCACCAAGGCGACGAUCGGUAGCCGGACUGAGAGGUUGAACGGCCACAUUGGGACUGAGACACGGCCCAGACUCCUACGGGAGGCAGCAGUGGGGAAUAUUGCACAAUGGGGGAAACCCUGAUGCAGCGACGCCGCGUGGAGGAAGAAGGUCUUCGGAUUGUAAACUCCUGUUGUUGGGGAAGAUAAUGACGGUACCCAACAAGGAAGUGACGGCUAACUACGUGCCAGCAGCCGCGGUAAAACGUAGGUCACAAGCGUUGUCCGGAAUUACUGGGUGUAAAGGGAGCGCAGGCGGGAAGACAAGUUGGAAGUGAAAUCUAUGGGCUCAACCCAUAAACUGCUUUCAAAACUGUUUUUCUUGAGUAGUGCAGAGGUAGGCGGAAUUCCCGGUGUAGCGGUGGAAUGCGUAGAUAUCGGGAGGAACACCAGUGGCGAAGGCGGCCUACUGGGCACCAACUGACGCUGAGGCUCGAAAGUGUGGGUAGCAAACAGGAUUAGAUACCCUGGUAGUCCACACCGUAAACGAUGAUUACUAGGUGUUGGAGGAUUGACCCCUUCAGUGCCGCAGUUAACACAAUAAGUAAUCCACCUGGGGAGUACGACCGCAAGGUUGAAACUCAAAGGAAUUGACGGGGGCCCGCACAAGCAGUGGAGUAUGUGGUUUAAUUCGACGCAACGCGAAGAACCUUACCAAGUCUUGACAUCCCUUGACAGACAUAGAAAUAUGUAAUCUCUUCGGAGCAAGGAGACAGGUGGUGCAUGGUUGUCGUCAGCUCGUGUCGUGAGAUGUUGGGUUAAGUCCCGCAACGAGCGCAACCCUUAUGGUCAGUUACUACGCAAGAGGACUCUGGCCAGACUGCCGUUGACAAAACGGAGGAAGGUGGGGAUGACGUCAAAUCAUCAUGCCCUUUAUGACUUGGGCUACACACGUACUACAAUGGCGUUAAACAAAGAGAAGCAAGACCGCGAGGUGGAGCAAAACUCAGAAACAACGUCCCAGUUCGGACUGCAGGCUGCAACUCGCCUGCACGAAGUCGGAAUUGCUAGUAAUCGUGGAUCAGCAUGCCACGGUGAAUACGUUCCCGGGCCUUGUACACAGCGCCCG
Molecule: ribosomal RNA, 1336 nt
Filed under: uncultured bacterium
Lineage: Bacteria
Description: bacterial SSU rRNA
Rfam family: Bacterial small subunit ribosomal RNA
Source: RNAcentral